This 460-nucleotide ribosomal RNA is filed under the name uncultured bacterium. Its description in RNAcentral is "partial 16S ribosomal RNA". It matches the Rfam family "Bacterial small subunit ribosomal RNA", at positions 338 to 795 of the family's 1533-position model. The record is from RNAcentral.
CCUACGGGGGGCUGCAGUGAGGAAUAUUGGUCAAUGGACGAGAGUCUGAACCAGCCAUGUAGCGUGAAGGAUGACUGCCCUAUGGGUUGUAAACUUCUUUUUUACGGGAGUAAAUUGUUAUACGUGUGGGAUUUUGUAAGUAUCAUACGAAUAAGGAUCGGCUAACUCCGUGCCAGCAGCCGCGGUAAUACGGAGGAUCCGAGCGUUAUCCGGGUUUAUUGGGUGUAAGGGUAGCGUAGGUGGGUUGAGAAGUCAGUUGUGAAAGUUUGCGGCUCAACUGUAAAAUUGCAGUUGAUACUGGCAGUCUUGAGUACAGUAGAGGUGGGCGGAAUUCGUGGUGUAGCGGUGAAAUGCUUAGAGAUCACGAAGAACUCCGAUUGCGAAGGCAGCUCACUAGACUGCAACUGACACUGAGGCUCGAAAGUGUGGGGAGCAAACAGGAUUAGAUACCCGAGUAGUC